AAAUGGAUGAUCAUCAUUUGCAUUAAAAUUACCAAAAUGGCAACCAAGAAUAGAUUGUUUACUUAAAAAGAUUGAGCCAUAAAGUUUUAUCUUUCAAAGAAAUUUGCCAAAUCAAGUUAUUGUUCACCGAGAACCCCAAAAUAACACCAACACCCUAAUCUAAACUUUACAACAAGAGGAACAACAUUUCCUCAACAGAUUUUAUCAAGAAUCAACCAAAAUUAGGAGAUGGAGUAAAAGAUUUAGUAUCUUGAAUUUGAUUUUUGAGAGGAGAAGGACCCUAAAACUGUAAAAGGAAAAGUCUCACGAAACCAAAAGCCAAAUGAAAAUUGUGUAACUUAAUGGAUGCCAGAAGGCAAAUGAGAAGAUUUAUUCCACAGAGAAUUCCAGAAACAAAUUCAACGUCCAGCAAAAAGUCAAGUGUCACAAUCAGGUAGAAGGCACUGACUAGUAAAGACGUUUCCAAAACACAACUUUAGCCCCAUUUUGGGAGCACAAACUUCAGAC
This 507-nucleotide long non-coding RNA is filed under the name Olea europaea (common olive). Its description in RNAcentral is "long non-coding RNA (OEUR_LNC007994)". The record is from RNAcentral. Lineage: Eukaryota; Viridiplantae; Streptophyta; Magnoliopsida; Lamiales; Oleaceae.